AUGAGACAGCAGCGAGCGGCCGUGUGGAGGAGCCCCACUCAGGAGGGCUCCCUGUGCUUACACCAACCCCACCAGGCCCUGGGUGUGGCAGCCUCAGGGGCCAGGACCCACGGCACCUGCUGCAGGUGCACCCUGAUUCCCACUCCCACCUCGCCCUCACCACCUCUCUUCCACACCCAAAGCUGGCCACCAGUUGCAGAGGAGCCCGGCUUGCGAUCUGCCUCUUACGCUCUCCCUAAGCGGCCGGCAGCGGCCGAGAGCCAGCCCAGAGCAGGCGAGCAGUGGCUGGGCACUCUGUGUUCAGGGGCGUCACCUCCGCCAGCCUGGACACCAGCCUCUGGGGGUAGGAGGGGACACUCAGGGGCCAUGCCCUGCCCUGGUGGUCUAUCAUCCAUGGCUUCAGCCCCCACUUGCGGCUGGGCCAGUUGCUGGCGGGCCCCACAGCAGCUACAGGGGGCUUCUGAUGGGGUCAGAACAGCCGGCUCAGGUCGUCUGCCCUGCUGUCCCCUUUCCCUUUCUUCCCCACCCCCAGCAAGAGGCAGUGGCUCUGGGGAGGCCGCAGACCACCCUGUGAGCACAGCCUGCUGGCAGCCGGCACAUGGAGCCGGCAUGUGGCCAGUGGGAAUGCCCAGACCCCAGGGCUGGCUUCGACCUUGGCCUUGGCACACUUCUCCCAGCACUGCGGGCUUCUUCCUGGUCCACUGUGUCCCUGGACUUGGCCCAAGAGCAGACUGGCCUCCUGCGCGCUGGGCUGAUGUGUCCAGGCAGCACCCCAGGGCUCAGAGCUGCAGUUGGGUGCACUGGUGGAUCAGUAGGCAGGGCUGGGACGGUGAGACGGGCGGAAGCUGCCUGCACCCCAAGUGCCCCGUGCUCCUUUGCACAUCUUUGUGGCAGGAGUGGGUGACUGGGCUGGGGCGGUCCAGUGGGCAGCUGGGAAGAUGGGAGUGAGCCUAGGUCACGUUGGAGCCUGGAGCUGGGAGGCUGUGGGCAGGGCCUGGCUGGGGGAGGGGGCGGUAUUUCCAGCUUUAGGCCCCCACGCCCCACCCCUCCUGCUGGGUGACCACCACCUCCCUCCGGCCACUCCUGGGGAGCCUGGCCCCUCCUCUCCCGCCUGUGCCCUCUGCCUUGCAGGGGCAGGGCAGGUGUUCCGGUAGCUGGCAGGCCCGAGGCCCGGCGGCGUGGUCACCCGUGUGAGGUGGAACAUGGAAGAAACGUGCCCUGCCAGCGGCCUGGCGCCUGGCCCAGGGGAGCCGGCAGCAAAUGUUCGCAGAACGCAUGUGGACUGAAAAUGCUCUGGACUUUGGCCUGAGCGACAAGUGCCGGGAGCACAGUGACCCCGGGGGAAGCGUGCCUGACGGUGGGGGGAGGCGGCCGGGAGGGUCAGUGAGGGGCGCUGCCGGCCCAGAGCGCCGGGACCUCCUUCCCAGCCCCCGGCCCUGGCUCAGCCUACCGGCAGGGGUGCGGGCGAUAACCAGUGCGCAGGCGCCUGGGGUGGGGGGGCCCGAAGGCGGUGCUGCAGUUCCCCGAGGCGCCGCCGGGGGCGCUGCGGGGGCGGGUUGGACCGGAGCUCCCGGCUGGGUGCCCGCCCGCCCGGGGGCCGCGAGGGAUCAGCGCGGGCGUGCCUCGGCCUCACAGCGCAUCACGCCAGUGCCAGAGUCGCAGCAGGGUUCCCUGAUGGGCGGGGACCGGCUCUGGGCUUCACGAGGUGACCGAAGCCGCGGGAGCAGCCGAGGCUGGAGGCACCUGGAUCGGGACAGAGCUGGGGGUGGGCGUGGGUGGAGGCUCCAGGGCAGUGGGGUGGGGCCCCUCCCUGCUGGGCGCUGGCUCUAGGUCCCUGAGGCUGCACCUGCGGGACCCCUCUCCCUGCUCCUAGCCGGUCGCCCCUACCAGGGUCACCUUUCCCAUCGGCAGGCCUGGAGCUCUGGCUGGGGGCUCCCACGGUUCUUGU
Molecule: long non-coding RNA, 1948 nt
Organism: Oryctolagus cuniculus (rabbit)
Lineage: Eukaryota; Metazoa; Chordata; Mammalia; Lagomorpha; Leporidae
Source: Ensembl